GCGCCCUUAGCUCAGUUGGUAGAGCAACCCGUUUACACCGGGAAGGUCGGGGGUUCGAGUCCCUCAGGGCGCACCA
Molecule: transfer RNA, 76 nt
Filed under: Patescibacteria group bacterium
Lineage: Bacteria
Description: tRNA-Val
Rfam family: tRNA
About the family: Transfer RNA (tRNA) molecules are approximately 80 nucleotides in length. Their secondary structure includes four short double-helical elements and three loops (D, anti-codon, and T loops).
Source: RNAcentral